This is a non-coding RNA of Arachis ipaensis, 202 nucleotides long. The record is from RefSeq and is a predicted model, not a curated record. NCBI's taxonomy places the organism in Eukaryota, Viridiplantae, Streptophyta, Magnoliopsida, Fabales, Fabaceae.
AAUAUCUCUUUACCAAGCUAAUUGCUGCCUUCAAGGUGACACGCAGCUUGGCAGCAAAAGCUUUUCAAACCUCUCUUCCUCUUUGUAGAGAGACAUUUUUCUCAGCCACAAUGGAGGAUCAUAUUUUUAAAAGAUAUCAAGAGCUAAUGAAAGAAAGUUCGAGUUUGCCAUUGUUUAAUUUAAGAAAGCUGAAUGCAUCACU